RNAcentral lists this ribosomal RNA (303 nucleotides) under uncultured bacterium. RNAcentral's name for it is "partial 16S ribosomal RNA". It matches the Rfam family "Bacterial small subunit ribosomal RNA", at positions 507 to 807 of the family's 1533-position model. The record is from RNAcentral.
AGCAGUAGCCGCGGUAAUACGUAGGUGGCAAGCGUUGUCCGGAAUUAUUGGGCGUAAAGGGCUCGCAGGCGGUUUCUUAAGUCUGAUGUGAAAGCCCCCGGCUCAACCGGGGAGGGUCAUUGGAAACUGGGAAACUUGAGUGCAGAAGAGGAGAGUGGAAUUCCACGUGUAGCGGUGAAAUGCGUAGAGAUGUGGAGGAACACCAGUGGCGAAGGCGACUCUCUGGUCUGUAACUGACGCUGGGGAGCGAAAGCGUGGGGAGCGAACAGGAUUAGAUACCCGGGUAGUCCCUGUCUCUUAUAC